ACGGUAAAAAAAUAUCUUGCCCGACCUCAGAACCCCGACCUCAGAACGCGUCUUCUUCGUCGGUCUCCAUGGGUCCCUCCGCUCCUCUCGCCGCCACCUCGGAGCGCCGCGUCGUGCCUCCCCACCCUCCCCUUCCUUUCCCUCUUCCUCUCCCUCUCCUUCUCUCACGACGCGACGGCUCACUGGGCAGGCUCGAGUGUGGCCGGCUUUCGACGAGACGAUGCGAUGGCCACCGGCAUGGGCGGCGCGACGCGCAGGCGCGGGCUCCCCCGCAGCGGUGCGUCGACGUGGACGGCCGGCAAAUGCCGCGGCAGCAUCGCCGACCUAGGGUUUCGUCCUCAGGUCAUCCCUCAUCCUCCCCUCUCUCCUGCGGCUCAAAAGCCUAGCCACCAGGUACGGAUGACUAUGGCUACUUCUCCUUCCCUAUUUGUGCUUGAACUUUAUUGUUUAAUUUUCUACAGUCAAAGAUUUAAAAUUUCCUUGGCCGUUUGAUUCCGCGAUAAACGCUCUAGAAUCAGGCCCCCGGAUACAUACAAUGCACGGUAAAAAAAUAUCUUGCCCGACCUCAGAACCCCGACCUCAGAACGUGUCUUCUUCGUCGGUCUCCAUGGGUCCCUCCGCUCCUCUCGCCGCCACCUCGGAGCGCCGCGUCGUGCCUCCCCACCCUCCCCUUCCUUUCCCUCUUCCUCUCCCUCUCCUUCUCUCACGACGCGACGGCUCACUGGGCAGGCUCGAGUGUGGCCGGCUUUCGACGAGACGAUGCGAUGGCCACCGGCAUGGGCGGCGCGACGCGCAGGCGCGGGCUCCCCCGCA
RNAcentral lists this long non-coding RNA (813 nucleotides) under Sorghum bicolor (sorghum). RNAcentral describes it as "long non-coding RNA (SBIC_LNC018421)". Lineage: Eukaryota; Viridiplantae; Streptophyta; Magnoliopsida; Poales; Poaceae. The record is from RNAcentral.